This is a long non-coding RNA of Trifolium pratense (red clover), 650 nucleotides long. RefSeq lists it as uncharacterized. NCBI's taxonomy places the organism in Eukaryota, Viridiplantae, Streptophyta, Magnoliopsida, Fabales, Fabaceae. The record is from RefSeq and is a predicted model, not a curated record. The transcript is spliced from 3 exons.
UCCGACCGAACAAAUCACGAAUGUAUAACAAUGUAUUUAAUUAAUUAAUAUCCUCCUCGUGGUUUCGAGUUGAAAAAGCAUCAAUCAAUAUCAUCAAUCAAUCAUGAUCCUCCUCCUUUAGAUCGCUCUCUGAACAAUUAAGAAGAGACGAUGAUGGCGGUGGUUUUGGGGUUAUUAGAUUUCUUUGUUGCCGGAGCUUCUCUUAUCUUUUGUUUGUUCCUUUUUGGUUUCAUUGCUUCUCUUCUAUCUGCUGCCGCUUUCUUCAACAACGCCAAGGACGUUUCCUAAUUCAACUAAUCUUUCUCUAUCUCUCCAACUAUUUGUUGCAAUUGCAGUUGGGUCUUCUGUGGAUGUCUGGAAGUUUUCUGUAUGAAAUCAAAUGCUUCAUUGAAGCUUAUGAAUGACGGAAUGAGUACAAAUGUUGUUUCAGAAUCAUUCUGGCAUUUGGAAGCAGCUUAUCCGCAUAAUUUCUUAUCUUGGAGUGGAUAAUCUUUCUUUACCAUCCUGAUAAAGCUAAUACUGCUUAAGGUUCAGGCUUGCCACAAUAUAUUUCUGCUGUCAGACCUUUCAUUUUUCCCUCUUGUAUAUAUAUUACAUGAAUGAUAUGACAGCUAUGAUUAAUUAAAAGAUAUAUUGCUCUUUUGCAUGUU